CACCUGCCGAAGUUCACCAGCAAACCGAGCGGUGGCUGUGGUUCAAAAUGUUUCGUGUGGCAGGGGCAGGGAGGAGUCAGCACGGGAGCACCACCUCCAGCAUCGCCCUGUCCGCAGCGGGGGUGCCAGAGCCCCCCGACGCCCUCCCAAAAUCUGGCAUCCGCAGGGGCUGCCCGGCCCCAUAAAGCCCUAAAUAAAAGAAAAAAGGCACACGGCCGCCGUCAGCUCCUUUUUGAUCAGAAGGCACCGUGCAGGCUCGCCAGCUCUGCUCCUUAAACCACGCCACCCGUUUUUUAGAUAAAUAGGUGAAAGCGGGGAAAUUCCCGGGGAAGGUUUCCGGGAUUUUUUUCCAAGCCAGCAGCAGCGGCCCUACAGCCAGGUCGGCCACGUAGCUUCACCCACGGAGUGAAGAUUUCUCCAUAGCAGGGCCCCCGGGAUGCUGCUGAAGGGUGGGAAAGAAGGAAAAUUGGGAAACGAGGCAGAGGCACGAGGGGUUCCCGUGCCCCUCGCCCCAUGCUGCAGGAGCUGGGGGCAGAUAAAUGGGGAUGGGAAGAAAUCACGCCUUGGUUUUUGGGGUGGGGGAGUUGGGAAGGCUCCACACAGCCCCCACGGACACCCAAAGGGAUGCAGGAAAGGGAAGGGGAUGGUGGAGGGGGUCCCUUGGAGAGCCAGGAGCGGGUUUGGGGUAAAGGAUGGGGCCAGUGCUGAGUGGGGCAGCUUCCCAGCACGCAGAGCUCAGCUUCACAGCCACGGGGGAGCGGUUUCAGAAGGCUGCGAGCGCCCCAAGGAGCAGGUACCCUGCCCUCACUGAAGAAAGACCUCGCACAGACCGCGAGGAGCGCGCAGUCCUCAAACACCAGGCACCACUGCACCAAAACCCAUCGGAUUUCCUCGCUGGGACGCAGACAAUUUGGCAGGGAGAGGCUCAGGAGGACAAAUUUUGCUUCCCCACAGCCCUGCUGCCUGCUCUGCCCAGGGCACAGCCCCACACCGAGCGCUCUGACACGAGGGGCACUAAACCCAAGCGGCUGGGUGCUGCUUUUUGGAUUUCCGUCACCCCAACACGCGAUGAGCAGACCAAAAACCAACUCAAGCAAGCGGCUGGAGACAUUCCCCCAUUUUUUUUUCCCCAUUUACCUACUGCAGAGCAAACUAAACGGGAGCCCACGGAGAUCCUCGGCGGAGCAGGGGCUGGAGAAGCUGCUGAGAGCAGGAGCGUGCGUGUUCAGCAGCCCACUAAUUGCGGCGGCGUUCGCUGCCCCGACCGGCCAGCUCCCCUGCCCUUCUCCUCUCCUGCCCAGUUAAUCACCAGCAGCCUCUGCCUGUUCCUCCUCUGGGCGGCGGGGAAGGAAGCAAAGUUCAUUAGUGGCCCUCGGCCACCGAACGAGCCCGAGACCAGACUUCAUUUAGAAAAUAAACACCACGAUUCAUGCGCGACGCGGCCCCAGAAUAGCCGCCCGAAAUAUUUAACGCAGCUGCCUGGAGCCUUCCUACUUCUCCCUCCCCCGAAAGAAAAGGCUCUCCCCUCGUUCCCUCACGAAUUUCUCCCCAUUUCUUUUUUUAUUUUCCAUUUUUCAGAAAAAAAAAAUAAAAAAAAAGCUAUCAACCCGGCCUGUCCGAGCUACCUUUAUUGCUCCUGAAGCCUCGCAGCGCCGAUAAACACUCAUUAAAAUCCAAGUUGAUAAAGCCUGGCACGGCAAUUACCUUCGUCCUCACGCCGAGAUUGCCCAAUUCAGCGCCGUGAUGUAACCAACACCCCAAAUUAAAAAUAGUGCGGUGACAACAUAUGGUUUAUCCUACAGAAGCUGGCAGGCAGGACGCUGCUAAUGACAAACGGGUUGGGUUCCCAGCUCCCCCCCCCCACAGCUCCCCGGCAAGGUGAAGAGACAGCUACAGCCUCGCGGGAUCGGAGGAGGAAAGGGGGGGGGGAAAAAAUAAAAAAAAAAAAGACAAAAACCGCA
This 1961-nucleotide long non-coding RNA is filed under the name Anas platyrhynchos platyrhynchos (common mallard). RNAcentral's name for it is "lncRNA (ENSAPLG00000026007.1)". Lineage: Eukaryota; Metazoa; Chordata; Aves; Anseriformes; Anatidae. The record is from RNAcentral.